This 253-nucleotide ribosomal RNA is filed under the name uncultured bacterium. RNAcentral's name for it is "partial 16S ribosomal RNA". It matches the Rfam family "Bacterial small subunit ribosomal RNA", at positions 524 to 776 of the family's 1533-position model. The record is from RNAcentral.
GACGAACCGUGCGAACGUUGUUCGGAAUCACUGGGCUUAAAGGGCGCGUAGGCGGACUGCCAAGUCCGGGGUGAAAUCUUUCGGCUCAACCGGAAAAUAGCCUCGGAGACUGGCGGUCUAGAGGGGGGUAGGGGCAGCUGGAACUUCCGGUGGAGCGGUGAAAUGCGUUGAUAUCUACAGGAACUCCGGUGGCGAAAGCGGCGUGCUGGACCUUUUCUGACGCUGAGGCGCGAAAGCUAGGGGAGCAAACGGG